Molecule: non-coding RNA, 29 nt
Filed under: Mus musculus (house mouse)
Lineage: Eukaryota; Metazoa; Chordata; Mammalia; Rodentia; Muridae
Source: RNAcentral
UACUAUCUUAUUCUCCCAUGGAGGCACUG